Homo sapiens (human) is the source of this 3044-nucleotide RNA transcript. It is a transcript of the gene named zinc finger protein 560, with no coding region annotated. The record is from RefSeq and is marked validated. Lineage: Eukaryota; Metazoa; Chordata; Mammalia; Primates; Hominidae. The transcript is spliced from 13 exons.
AGUUCUCUCUUUUGGUCGCUGGCGCCUGUUUCCUCAGAGCCACUUUUUCCUUUGUGUUGUCUGGUCGUUCACUACUUUGAGGGAAAAGAAUUUUGCCGUUCGCGUUCGAUUGACUCCGUCCCCAAGAUCCUGUAGCCCCACGGACCUGGCGACUCCACCGUGUUCGGGUCUUUCUAGGAACCCAAUCUGCCUUCAUGAAGAAAAGACAGAGGCAGAAAGGAAGAUGGCUUACUGCCUGACAAAUUGUUAUCAGUACUCCGUGACCUUUGAGGAUACAGCUGUGGACUUCACCCAGGAGGAGUGGAUUUUACUGGACCCAGUUCAGAGAAACUUAUACAGAGAUGUGAUGCUGGAGAAUUAUGAGAACGUGGCCAAAGUAGGAUUUCAGCUCUUUAAACCCAGUGUCAUCUCUUGGUUGGAAGAAGAAGAGUUGAGAACCUUGCAGCAAGGAGUUCUCCAAGACUGGGCAAUAAAACAUCAAACCAGUGUUUCAGCACUGCAGCAGGAGUUUUGGAAAAUACAAACUUCUAAUGGGAUACAAAUGGACCUGGUAACCUUUGACAGUGUGGCUGUGGAGUUCACCCAGGAAGAGUGGACUUUACUGGACCCAGCUCAGAGAAACCUGUACAGUGAUGUGAUGCUGGAGAACUACAAGAACCUGUCCUCAGUAGGUUACCAGCUCUUCAAACCCAGUCUGAUCUCUUGGCUGGAGGAAGAGGAAGAGUUGAGCACACUGCCAAGAGUUCUCCAAGAAUGGAAAAUGUGCCUGAAAACCAAAGGGCCAGCCCUUUGGCAAGAUAAUUUUUGUUUAAAAACAUUAAAUGGGAUACAGUUGGCAAGAAACCAAAAUGGAGAGGAACUCUAUGACUGUAAGCAAUGUGAAGAUGUCUUCUGUAAACAUCCAUGCCUUAAGACCAACAUGAGUACUCAAAAUAGAGGCAACACGUCUGAAUGUAUUCAGUAUGCAAAAGACCUCCUUUCUCUAUACAAUAAAACCUCUACCAUAAGGAAAGUUUCUGUGUUCAGUAAGCAUGGAAAAUCUUUCCGCCUGAUUUUAAAUGUUCAGGUCCAGAGAAAGUGUACACAAGAUAAAUCCUUUGAAGGCACUGACUAUGGGAAAGCCUUCAUUUAUCAGUCAUACCUUGAAGCACACAGGAAAACUCAGAGUGGAGAAAAACUCAAUGAAUGGAAGCAAUGUGGGGAAGCAUUUACUCACUCCACAAGCCAUGCUGUAAAUGUUGAAACACACAUUAUUAAAAACCCCUAUGAAUGUAAGGAAUGUGGAAAAGAUUUUAGAUACCCUACCCACCUUAAUAAUCACAUGCAAACCCACAUUGGGAUAAAACCUUAUAAAUGUAAGCACUGUGGCAAAACCUUCACUGUGCCGUCAGGCUUUCUUGAACAUGUACGAACUCACACUGGAGAGAAGCCCUAUGGGUGUAAGGAAUGUGGUAAAGCCUUUGGUACAUCUGCAGGCCUUAUUGAACAUAUAAGAUGUCACGCCAGAGAGAAAACCUUUAAAUGUGACCACUGUGGGAAAGCCUUUAUUUCUUACCCAUCUCUUUUUGGACAUUUGAGAGUUCAUAAUGGAGAGAAGCCAUAUGAGCAUAAGGAAUAUGGGAAGGCCUUUGGUACAUCCUCAGGUGUUAUUGAAGAUAGAAGAAGUAACACAGGACAGAAACGCUUUGAUUGUGACCAGUGUGGGAAAGUCUUUGUUUCUUUCUCAUCUCUUUUUGCUCAUUUGAGAACUCACACUGGUGAGAAGCCCUUUAAGUGUUACAAAUGUGGGAAACCAUUUACCUCUUCUGCCUGUCUUCGUAUUCACAUGCGAACUCACACAGAAGAGAGACUCUAUCAAUGUAAGAAAUGUGGUAAAGCUUUCACUAAGUGCUCAUAUCUUACCAAACAUUUACGAACACACGCUGGAGAGAAACCCUAUGAAUGUAUGAAAUGUGGGAAAGCCUUCACUGAGCGCUCAUACCUUACUAAACAUUUACGAAGACACAGUGGAGAGAAGCCAUAUGAAUGUAAGAAAUGUGGAAAAGCCUUCACAGAACGCUCAGAUCUUACUAAACAUUUACGAAGACACACUGGAGAUAAGCCCUAUGAAUAUAAGGACUGUGGGAAAGCCUUUGUUGUCUCCUCCAGUCUAGUUGAUCAUUUAAGAACUCACACUGGAUAUAAACCCUAUAAAUGUAAUGCAUGUGAAAAAGCUUACAGUAGGUCUUGUGUACUAACUCAACACUUAAAAACUCAUGCAGCAGAGAAGACCUCUGAAUGUAACGCAUGUGGAAAUUCCUUUCGAAAUUCCAUGUGCUUUCAUGAUCGCUUAAAAACUCUCACCAAAAUAAAACCCUAUAAAUGUAAGGACUGUGGGAAAGCCUUCACUUGUCAUUCAGAUCUUACUAAUCAUGUGCGAAUUCACACUGGAGAGAAGCCCUAUAAAUGUAAGGAAUGUGGGAAGGCCUUCCGUACAUCCUCAGGACGUAUUCAACAUUUAAGAACUCAUAUGGGAGAGAAACCCUUUGAAUGUGACCAGUGUGGGAAAGCCUUUGCUUCUUUCUCAGCUCGUAUUGCACAUUUGAAAACACACUAGAGAGAAGCCCUGUGGAUGUGAAGAAUGUGGAAAAACCUUUGCUGUUUCCUCAAGCCUAACUGAACAUGUAAAAAUUCACAGGAGAAAGUAACACUAUCAAUGAGGAAACUGUUUAUCCUACCAACACUCAACAGGAGGGGAUUAUACCAAGGCAUACCAGAGUGCAGGACUCAUAAGCACCAUCUCAGAAUUCUGCCUACUAUACAGGGAAAGGUGGAGUAAAUGCAGUUAUCCUGUCUGUCCCACUGAAUGUCCCACCUGGACAGAAUGCAUCAGCUAUUUGAAGAAUCUGAAAAGUAAAUAGCAGCAGGGAGAUGGAAAAAAAAAUCAGCGUUCAAAGUACCACCAAGCAGGCACCUCCAAGCAAUCCUGUGGUGGCAAUGAGACAUACCAUAGACUUUGAGAGCUGGAAUGUGAGAUAGAUGACCUUCUGUGUAGUCUAGCCUCC